Molecule: signal recognition particle RNA, 97 nt
Filed under: gamma proteobacterium IMCC1989
Lineage: Bacteria; Pseudomonadati; Pseudomonadota; Gammaproteobacteria; Alteromonadales
Description: Bacterial small signal recognition particle RNA
Rfam family: Bacterial small signal recognition particle RNA
About the family: The signal recognition particle (SRP) is a universally conserved ribonucleoprotein involved in the co-translational targeting of proteins to membranes. Archaeal SRP consists of a 7S RNA and homologues of the eukaryotic SRP19 and SRP54 proteins.
Source: Rfam by way of RNAcentral
AGUUGGUUCCUUCGCAAUAACUAUCUGUAAACUCCGCCAGGCCCGGAAGGGAGCAACGGUAGCAGUGCUGUUAUGUGCCGGAGUGUGGCUGGCUAGG